Molecule: ribosomal RNA, 253 nt
Filed under: uncultured bacterium
Lineage: Bacteria
Description: partial 16S ribosomal RNA
Rfam family: Bacterial small subunit ribosomal RNA
Source: RNAcentral
UACGUAGGUGGCAAGCGUUGUCCGGAUUUACUGGGCGUAAAGGGCUUGUAGGCGGUUUGUUAAGUCUGGUGUGAAAUCUCCCGGCUCAACCGGGAGGGGUCAUCGGAUACUGGCAGACUAGAGACGGGUAGAGGAAAGCAGAAUUCCCGGUGUAGCGGUGAAAUGCGUAGAUAUCGGGAGGAAUACCAGUGGCGAAGGCGGCUUUCUGGGCCUGUUCUGACGCUGAGGAGCGAAAGCGUGGGGAGCAAACCGG